GGUGCGAGCAUCAUGUCCUGCAGUGCCCUGAAUUCGUGGGGCAGCUGUGGUUCUGUCCUUGUAAGCUGGCCGGCUGUGCUGCUGCCCUGAUUGUGCUGUGUGUUCUCUGGAGCAGCUCUAGGUGUGCUUGAUUCAGCACAGCCAUGAGCAUGGUUUGUGAAGAGGAUACUGGAGAGGCAGAGUGCUGAGCAGGCCUCAGGUAAAUAAUUUGUAGUUGUUUUUUUUUUAAAGCACAUCUAAAGAUGGGCUUCACUGGGCUGUGCUGGUGCGCUGCUCACAAAACUGCUGCUUGUCAGUGGAUCUGUUGGCUCUUAUGAUCCUAUCUGUCACCGUGAGGAGCUGAUUACUGUGCUGCAGCUACGAGUAGCUGCCAUUACAUGUCAGUGUAUGCAGGAGGGUUACUCAGCUUUUUCAGUGCGUCAGCACUGAGAUAACAGCUUCACUGCAAACUCAGUGCCUGGAGAAGGGCUCCUGUUAGAUCAGCUCAGCUCAGCCAGGGCUGGCUCUCAGGGUCGGAGCUCUGCUGAUGCCCGCUUUCGUUGGGUGCAAAUGUGCCCGAGUCAAAUUAAUCAGAGAAAACCUGGUUUGAUGACGUGGUGGGAGCCUGAGCAGCGAGGGAGCAGGGAUGAGCCUGCUUGCUCGUGGGGCUGGAACUGA
RNAcentral lists this long non-coding RNA (657 nucleotides) under Numida meleagris (helmeted guineafowl). RNAcentral describes it as "lncRNA (ENSNMEG00000013897.1)". Lineage: Eukaryota; Metazoa; Chordata; Aves; Galliformes; Numididae. The record is from RNAcentral.